GUUGAAAUACCAGUUCUUGUUCGAUCACCGAAGUUAAGCAACGUCGAGCCUGGUUAGUAUCUAAAUGAGUGACCGCUUUGGAAUACGAGGCGCUGUAAU
Non-coding RNA from Acanthosepion pharaonis, 99 nucleotides. Lineage: Eukaryota; Metazoa; Mollusca; Cephalopoda; Sepiida; Sepiidae. The record is from the annotation of a GenBank genome assembly.